GGGGUCUUAGCUCAGCUGGGAGAGCGCCUGCUUUGCACGCAGGAGGUCAGGGGUUCGAUCCCCCUAGACUCCA
This is a transfer RNA of 73 nucleotides. It matches the Rfam family "tRNA". Rfam says of the family: Transfer RNA (tRNA) molecules are approximately 80 nucleotides in length. Their secondary structure includes four short double-helical elements and three loops (D, anti-codon, and T loops). Further hydrogen bonds mediate the characteristic L-shaped molecular structure. tRNAs have two regions of fundamental functional importance: the anti-codon, which is responsible for specific mRNA codon recognition, and the 3' end, to which the tRNAs corresponding amino acid is attached (by aminoacyl-tRNA synthetases). tRNAs cope with the degeneracy of the genetic code in two manners: having more than one tRNA (with a specific anti-codon) for a particular amino acid; and 'wobble' base-pairing, i.e. permitting non-standard base-pairing at the 3rd anti-codon position. The record is from Rfam.